GUGGAGGCGGGAGGGGGAUGGCACAGCUAGAUGGCACAGUGCUUAGAGAUUAGGCUUGGAAUCAGAUAGACUCAUCUUCAUGAGCUCAAAUCCAGCCUCAGACAUUGGCCAUGUAACCCUGGGUGGAACCAAAGAGAAGUCAAGUUCAAUGUCAGAGAAUUGGGGAAAAAUCUGAACAAAGGUGGUACCUACCUUUGCUCUCUCCACCACAGACAAUGAUCUUUGGACAGAAAAAGGACAGAACAAAAAUGGCUCUAAGGAAGCUGACACCAGGUAAAAUGGGAGGUAGUAAGAGAGGGUCCGGCUACCCUUAAAAUUAUGCAGCCCAAAUGAGCUAUAUAACCCAACUAACCAAGGAUACCGAAAACAUUGAUUGCUGGUGAUGUUGAACCAUCAUGGAGAGGAGGGGAGGUACC
Molecule: long non-coding RNA, 416 nt
Filed under: Monodelphis domestica (gray short-tailed opossum)
Lineage: Eukaryota; Metazoa; Chordata; Mammalia; Didelphimorphia; Didelphidae
Description: lncRNA (ENSMODG00000042074.1)
Source: RNAcentral